GAUACUCACAUGUUUAAAAGGUGAGCACUAACACACAGGAUCGUCUUCUUUCCUAGAUGGCAACAAGUUUUAAAAUGUACUUAGAAAACUGGAAUAUCCACACCAUAGACUGGCUUAAACGUGUAUGCUACAAUCGAGUUCCUCAUUACCGUACAGCUUUAACAUUUCUUCUGUCAGCAGUUUGGCAUGGUGUUUACCCUGGAUAUUAUUUUACUUUUAUCACUGGUAUCUUUAUGACACUAGCAGCCAGAACAGUA
Sceloporus undulatus (fence lizard) is the source of this 257-nucleotide long non-coding RNA. RefSeq lists it as uncharacterized. Lineage: Eukaryota; Metazoa; Chordata; Lepidosauria; Squamata; Phrynosomatidae. The transcript has 2 exons. The record is from RefSeq and is a predicted model, not a curated record.